GGGGAUGUGGUCUAGUGGUAUGACGUUUCCUUCGCAUUGUUUCGAUGCAUGGUAAAGGUUCUGGGUUCGAUUCCCAGCUUCUCCA
Molecule: non-coding RNA, 85 nt
Organism: Xylariales sp. PMI_506
Lineage: Eukaryota; Fungi; Ascomycota; Sordariomycetes; Xylariales
Source: the annotation of a GenBank genome assembly